CAAGUCGAACGAAUGUCAGCUUUGUAGCAAUACCGAGCUGGCGGAAGUGGCGAAAGGGGCAGUAAUGCGUGGGUAACCUACCCUGGGGACCGGGAUAGCCAUUCUAACGAGUGGGUAAUACCGGGCAAUGUAGCUGAGGGGCAUCUCUUGGCUACCAGAUGAAUUUCGCCCUGGGAGGGGCUCACGUCGUAUUAGCUAGUUGGUGGGGUAAUGGCCUACCAAGGCAAAGAUGCGUAGCGGGUGUGAGAGCACGACCCGCGCCACUGGCACUGAGACACUGGCCAGACACCUACGGGUGGCUGCAGUCGAGGAUCUUCGGCAAUGGGCGAAAGCCUGACCGAGCGACGCCGCGUGUGCGAUGAAGGCCUUCGGGUUGUAAAGCACUGUCGAGGGGGAUAAAAGCGCAAGCUUGAUUGAUCCCUGGAGGAAGCACGGGCUAAGUUCGUGCCAGCAGCCGCGGUAAGACGAACCGUGCGAACGUUGUUCGGAUUCACUGGGCUUAAAGGGCGCGUAGGCGGCUUGCCAAGUCCGGGGUGAAAUCUUUCGGCUCAACCGGAAAAGUGCCUUGGAUACUGGCAGGCUCGAGGGAGGUAGGGGCAUGUGGAACUUCUGGUGGAGCGGUGAAAUGCGUUGAUAUCAGAAGGAACGCCGGUGGCGAAAGCGACGUGCUGGACCUCUUCUGACGCUGAGGCGCGAAAGCUAGGGGAGCAAACGGGAUUAGAUACCCCGGUAGUCCUAGCCCUAAACGAUGGGUACUAGAUUGUAGACUUAACAUGGGUUUACAGUCGAAGCAAAAGUGUUAAGUACCCCGCCUGGGGAGUAUGGUCGCAAGGCUGAAACUCAAAGGAAUUGACGGGGGCUCACACAAGCUGUGGAGCAUGUGGCUUAAUUCGAGGCUACCC
Molecule: ribosomal RNA, 902 nt
Filed under: uncultured Planctomycetia bacterium
Lineage: Bacteria; Pseudomonadati; Planctomycetota; Planctomycetia
Description: bacterial SSU rRNA
Rfam family: Bacterial small subunit ribosomal RNA
Source: RNAcentral